Hemiscyllium ocellatum (epaulette shark) is the source of this 591-nucleotide long non-coding RNA. RefSeq lists it as uncharacterized. The transcript has 3 exons. The record is from RefSeq and is a predicted model, not a curated record. Lineage: Eukaryota; Metazoa; Chordata; Chondrichthyes; Orectolobiformes; Hemiscylliidae.
CGCCGCAAACAUGUUAAGGAUAGAAUGAAGAAAUCCUCAUAACAAGGGAAGUCAGAGCCUUUAUGAUGCCGUGAAAGCGGUUCUACUCUUGGACCGAAAGGCUUGGGUUCAAUGCUCAUCUGCUAAGUUGUGUAGUAACAUCUCUGAACAGCUUCAUUAGAAAGACAGAGGAAGUCAGGAUAUGCAUACAAUAUGUUACAGAUCCGUCGGAAGCCAGAAGAGUUUAAACACCAGCAGAAGAAUCACUUCCUGGAUGUCUCAAGUGGAGGGAUGAAACUGACAGGACUGUUAUCUCAUCCUUCAGCUUCUUGGUCUGCUUUUCAAGCUCCUGACUUUUAAGGUUUGGGAUCGCGUUCGAGAUUGGAUAUCAACUCUAAGAAGGAAGCUUCUUACCUCAAAGAACUGUCAGUGACUGGUCAAUUUAGACGUUGUUCCCAAUGAUCCUGCCUGACUACGCCAGGUUGUGAGAUAGUGUUCAAAUACCGACAAGAAUCGGUGAGUGGAGAAAACACCCUCUGUUAUUCAGUAGCACAGCACAAGUUCGGGGCGGCAAUAAAAUCCAGAAAUACAGUUCUUACAAGAGCCCCUUUA